Molecule: long non-coding RNA, 292 nt
Filed under: Gossypium barbadense (sea-island cotton)
Lineage: Eukaryota; Viridiplantae; Streptophyta; Magnoliopsida; Malvales; Malvaceae
Description: long non-coding RNA (GBAR_LNC003531)
Source: RNAcentral
AUUGAAAACUUUCAACAAUAAAAAUAAAAUUUGAAUUUAAAAAUUUUGAAUUAAUGUUUUGUAAAUUGGGUAUGGACCUCCCUAAAAAAGAACCUCUCACAAUGUAAUGUUCUGAAUGGGCCACUAGAUAUUUCAUUCCAUAUAUAGUGGUAAUUCACUACAAAUACAUAAAAUAUGUGCAAAAUAAACUAUUGGGCACUUCUGAAGUUAAGAAUUGUGCACCAUAAAAAAACAGCAUAUAUAAAAUCAUGAACAAAACUUUGGAGCAGAAAUUUUGGGUGUUAAUAUCACU